Molecule: long non-coding RNA, 1291 nt
Organism: Gorilla gorilla gorilla (western lowland gorilla)
Lineage: Eukaryota; Metazoa; Chordata; Mammalia; Primates; Hominidae
Exons: 4
Source: RefSeq, a predicted model, not a curated record
UAAGCAAGCCUGGGCAAUGGCGGGCGCCCCUCCCCCAGCCUCGCUGCCGCCUUGCAGUUUGAUCUCAGACUGCUGCGCUAGCAAUCAGUGAGAUUCCGUGGGCGUAGGACCCUCCGAGCCAGGUGUGGGAUAUAGUCUCGUGGUGCGCCGUUUUUUAAGCCGGUCUGAAAAGCGCAAUAUUCGGGUAGGAGUGACCCGAUUUUCCAGAAUGGGCAAAUAAUUGAUGGAAUGCUCACAUGGUGGAUGCUGGGUGUCAAUGAGAGUGGUGAGCCACAACUACACACGACAGCACGUAUGGACCUUACAAGCAAACUAUUGAGUGAAAGGACCAGAUAGGAAAGAAGAUGGAACCAUCCAGUUGCAGAAAAACAAACUCAGGGCUCCCACUAAUUCUACAUUAUGGCUGCCACGGAGCACCUGUGGGGCUGGAGCCCCCAACGCAGCCUGGUGGGGAGGGGUGUUGGUGAAGAGUCAGACUCUGCCGGCCUCCCUGGUCUCUGAGCACCUGGUGCACUCCGGGCACCCACAGGCAUCUGCCUGGCCAGAGGGCAGCUCCGUAGCCAAUGUUUCUCUAAGCAACCUAUGGUCCCUGAAUCCGGACCUGGUGCCCUUGGGUGAAGGGAGGUGACGUGCCUGUUCUCAAGAUGCUGGAUGCUGGGCUACCCCAGGCUCCCUGGGGGUGGAGGCGGGGAGGGUCACUGAAAAUACUGAAGAGCAUCCCCGGGGCCCCAGAUGGAAAGAGAGUAGUGGGUGGGCCUCUGUGCACAGGAUGGACGGGGGCCCUGGGGCCUGUCCCCCGCUUCAUUUCUCUUUCCUUAUCUGUGAAAUGGAGGAAAGCAUGUAUCUCUCCAGCUCAGAGAUGCCCGGGAGGACCAAGGGCCUGGGGGAGGCAGGGCUUGGCCAGGGUGGCUCGUGGCUGUGACCAGGUCCCAGAGACUGGCCUGUCUCCCUGGGUCCGCUGCAGCAUGACGGGUUCCUGCUGAUGUGAAGGCUGACUGCUGCCCUCCCAGAGGUCCCCUUAAAUGCCGUACCACACCACCCCGGGGAAGCCAGGCCCAGGUGCCCAGGAGCUGCCCAGAGCCAGGCCCACAUGGAUCCCAGCUUGCUUUCUGCUCCUCCUUGUCCUGAGCUACCUAAGCCCAGGUUAGGCUGAGUAGCCCCCUCCCCACACUCCCACCAGACUCUAGGGCAUUGUGGGGGGUACCUUCGUAGAGUAGGCUUGUGGCUCCGGCCUCUGCAGCUGUCCUGGUUUUGAGACAUUUUACUCCACUCAAUAAAGAUUAUUUGUUGA